Molecule: long non-coding RNA, 569 nt
Organism: Dioscorea cayenensis subsp. rotundata (Guinea yam)
Lineage: Eukaryota; Viridiplantae; Streptophyta; Magnoliopsida; Dioscoreales; Dioscoreaceae
Exons: 3
Source: RefSeq, a predicted model, not a curated record
UGUUGACCCUUCGUCCGGCCUCUCACCUCUUCAGAUCCUUCGGAGAUCCCCAAAGUUUGAGUCUUUUUCUGGUUUAAUCCUUGAAAGGAGGAGAAAGAUGAAUCCUUUGAGCAAGAAGAUCUAUCUCUACAAUGUCACCAUGGGGCUUUACAUGCUGGAUUGGUGGGAGCGCUAUCUUUUCAAUAUAUUGAUAUUGGUUUUGCUUUGGUUUAUCUGCUACAAUGGCUGCAGAUUUGUUACUCAGAUCUACAACAGCAAUUUUUCUGCAGAGUUCAUGGUUGGCAAAAAGUUCAGCACUGCCGGAUUUGUACCAACCUAAUCUAUUAAACGAUCAAGCAUUAGCGAUAGUAAAGAUGGCUGUCGAUGAGGUCAUAUCGGUUAUGCUUGUUUAACUUUACAGAAUUAAUGUACAGUAAAAAAAACCUUUGAAUGUGUGAAUUUCUUCAGUAAUGUUGAGAAGAGUAGACAUUUGCUUGAUUUCAUCUCUUGUUAUUUAUGCGAAUUUCCGAAUCAUGUAAAUCUUUCUGACAUUAAAUUUCAUCGGUUUAUGCAUGAUACAAUUAGAUGUA